UAGGGAAUCUUCGGCAAUGGACGAAAGUCUGACCGAGCAACGCCGCGUGAGUGAAGAAGGUUUUCGGAUCGUAAAACUCUGUUGGUAGAGAAGAACGUUGGUGAGAGUGGAAAGCUCAUCAAGUGACGGUAACUACCCAGAAAGGGACGGCUAACUACGUGCCUAG
This 166-nucleotide ribosomal RNA is filed under the name uncultured bacterium. RNAcentral's name for it is "partial 16S ribosomal RNA". It matches the Rfam family "Bacterial small subunit ribosomal RNA", at positions 355 to 512 of the family's 1533-position model. The record is from RNAcentral.